UGCUGUGACAGGCACUUGGCCGGUUCCAAACACCCUCAUGGGGUGCAAGGGGUCGAAGGUUCGAAUCCUUUCACACCGACCA
RNAcentral lists this transfer RNA (82 nucleotides) under compost metagenome. RNAcentral describes it as "tRNA-Met". The record is from RNAcentral.